CCCGCGCUCCUCCGGGCAGAGCGCGUGUGGCGGCCGAGCACAUGGGCCCGCGGGCCGGGCGGGCUCGGGGCGGCCGGGACGAGGAGGGGCGACGACGAGCUGCGAGCAAAGAUGUGCCCCGGGACCCCCGGCACCUUCCAGUGGAUUUCCUUGCGGAAAGGAUGUUGGCGGUCCCUGUGACCUGUGGAGACACGGCCAGAUCUGCCCUCCAGAUUUAUUAGGAGAAAAACCUUCCCGGAAGCUGCAGAAGGACAAAUACAGAAUCCGUGUCUGGGAGAAACCUCGUGGCCUGGUCUCCAUUAUUUGAGAUGAGUUACAUCUUGGAGGUGAGGACGUGCCUCGUGGUCUAAAGCUUCGGCACAAGGGCCCAACUGGAAUUCCACUUACGGGCCUGAUCUUUUGGCCAGAAGGAGAUUAAAAAGAUGCCCCUCAAGAUGGCUGUGCCUGUCAGCUGCAUGGAGCUUCGUUCAAGUAUUUUCUGAGCCUGAUGGAUUUACAGUGAUCUUCAGUGGUCUGGGGAAUAACGCUGGUGGAACCAUGCACUGGAAUGACACACGCCCGGCACAUUUCAGGAUACUAAAAGUGGUUUUAAGGGAGGCUGUGGCUGAAUGCCUCAUGGAUUCUUACAGCUUGGAUGUCCAUGGGGGACGAAGGACUGCAGCUGGCUGAGAGGGUUGAGAUCUCUGUUUACUUAGAUCUCUGCCAACUUCCUUUGGGUCUCCCUAUGGAAUGUAAGACCCCGACUCUUCCUGGUGAAGCAUCUGAUGCACGUUCCAUCCGGCGCUCAGCUGGGCUUGAGAGUCUCACUCUGUGGUCCAGGCUGAAGUACAGUGGCAUGAUCCCAGGUCACUGCAACCCCCACCUCCCGGGUUCAAGUGAUCCUCCUGCCUCAGCCUCCCGAGUAGCUGGUAUUACAGGCGUGUGCCACAAAGCCUGGCUAAGUUUUGUAUUUUUAGUAGAGACGGGGUUUCACCAUGUUGGCCAGGUUGGUCUCGAACUCCUGACCUCAAGUGAUCCACUCACUUUGGCCUUUCAACGUGCUGGGAUUACAGGCGAGAGUCACCGCACCCGGACGACUCUGACAUUUUUGAAGAGUCCAGAAUCCUGUUACACCUGGGAUUUAGGCACUUUCAAUCUGAAAAAAUACAUAUCCUUUCAGCACUCUGGACGGACUUGAGAACUGUCCUUACGUGACCUAAAGCUGGAGUAUUUUGAGAUUGGAGAAUUAAGGCCAACAGAGAUUUUGAGAAACACAUUGAAGGAUCUGUUAACACUUGAUAUACCCAAUAAAAGCAGUGGUUGUGCCAGUGCUGAUCUGUCUUGAUGUGAAUGUGAACAAUGGGAACCUGAGCUGAGCAGUUAAUGCUAGGGUGACAGAAACUGGACCUCUCCCAAGACAUGUGACAGAGUAAUACAGCAGCCAACUUCUUCGCCAAAUUAAAGUUUUACAAGAUUUAACCUGUCAUCAAGACCUGGGAUUUUGGUGAGCCAGUCUUGGUGCUCUGUGUUCACCUGGUUCAUCUGAGGAGCUGCAUCUACCCUGCCCAUGCCAUAGAUCCUGCCCUGUUUGCUUCUCCUGUUGCUGCUAGUGGACAUGAGGUAACCACAGCCUAGUUCUGUGAUAAGCUCUUCACACCUGUACCCAUAUGGACUGUGGGAGAGUUUCUCUGAUAUGGACUGUGAUGCGGAAGGACAGAAUAACGGGCUCCCAGAUUCACAAGCCCCACCAAGAGGAUCACCCCAGGAACGCUUGGAGGCUGAGGAGUUCACUGAGGCUACUGCAUCUUGAGACUCAGGAUGAAGACCCAGCUUGGGGCUGUCAAAGGUUUUUUGCAUGUCUGACACCCAUGACUCCACCUGGACCUUAUGGCUCCACCCAGAAGCAAUUCAGCCCAACAGGAGGACAGCUUCAACCCAUUACGAUUUCAUCUCUGCCCCAACCACUCAGCAGCAAGCACCUGUUACCUGUCCACCCCCACCCCUUCCCCCAAACUGCCUUUGAAAAAUCCCUAACCUAUGAGCUUUGAAUAAGAUGAGUACGAACUUCAUCGCCCACGUGGCGUGGCCGGCCUCGUGUCUAUUAAAUUCUUUUUCUACUACAA
Molecule: long non-coding RNA, 2102 nt
Filed under: Homo sapiens (human)
Lineage: Eukaryota; Metazoa; Chordata; Mammalia; Primates; Hominidae
Description: Pvt1 oncogene, transcript variant 38 (PVT1)
Rfam family: Pvt1 oncogene conserved region 1 (bases 34-211)
Source: RNAcentral